Molecule: ribosomal RNA, 468 nt
Filed under: uncultured bacterium
Lineage: Bacteria
Description: partial 16S ribosomal RNA
Rfam family: Bacterial small subunit ribosomal RNA
Source: RNAcentral
GACGAACGCUGGCGGCGUGCUUAACACAUGCAAGUCGAACGGAAAGGCCCUGCUUUUGUGGGGUGCUCGAGUGGCGAACGGGUGAGUAACACGUGAGUCACCUGCCCUUGACUUUGGGAUAACUUCAGGAAACUGGGGCUAAUACCGGAUAGGCGCUCCUGCUGCAUGGUGGGGGUUGGAAAGUUUCGGCGGUUGGGGAUUGACUCGCGGCUUAUCAGCUUGUUGGUGGGGUAGUGGCUUACCAAGGCUUUGACGGGUAGCCGGCCUGCGAGGGUGACCGGCCACAUUGGGACUGAGGUAGGCCCCAGACUCCUACGGGAGGCAGCAGUGGGGAAUAUUGCACAAUGGGCCGAAGUCUGAUGCAGCAACGCCGCGUGCGGGAUGACGGCUUUCGGGUUGUAAACCGCUUUCGCCUGAGACGAAGCGUGAGUGACGGUAAUGGGUAAAGAAGCACCGGCUAACUACGUG